CCUUGACAUGCAGAGAACUUUCAGAGAUGGAUUGGUGCCUUCGGGAACUCUGACACAGGUGCUGCAUGGCUGUCGUCAGCUCGUCGUCGUGAGAUGGUUGGGUUAAGUCCCGUAACGAGCGCAACCCUUGUCCUUAGUUACCAGCACGUUAUGGUGGGCACUCUAAGGAGACUGCCGGUGACAAACCGGAGGAAGGUGGGGAUGACGUCAAGUCAUCAUGGCCCUUACGGCCUGGGCUACACACGUGCUACAAUGGUCGGUACAAAGGGUUGCCAAGCCGCGAGGUGGAGCUAAUCCCAUAAAACCGAUCGUAGUCCGGAUCGCAGUCUGCAACUCGACUGCGUGAAGUCGGAAUCGCUAGUAAUCGUGAAUCAGAAUGUCACGGUGAAUACGUUCCCGGGCCUU
Molecule: ribosomal RNA, 405 nt
Filed under: uncultured Pseudomonas sp.
Lineage: Bacteria; Pseudomonadati; Pseudomonadota; Gammaproteobacteria; Pseudomonadales; Pseudomonadaceae
Description: bacterial SSU rRNA
Rfam family: Bacterial small subunit ribosomal RNA
Source: RNAcentral